Molecule: small nuclear RNA, 160 nt
Organism: Jaculus jaculus (lesser Egyptian jerboa)
Lineage: Eukaryota; Metazoa; Chordata; Mammalia; Rodentia; Dipodidae
Gene: U1
Rfam family: U1 spliceosomal RNA
About the family: U1 is a small nuclear RNA (snRNA) component of the spliceosome (involved in pre-mRNA splicing). Its 5' end forms complementary base pairs with the 5' splice junction, thus defining the 5' donor site of an intron.
Source: Ensembl
UUAGUUACCUGGCAGGUAAUCAUGAUCAUGAGGGUGGUUUUCCCAGGGCAAGGUUUAUCUAUUGCAGUCUCUAUGUGCUGACCUCUGUGAUUUUCCCAAAUGCAGGAAACUUGACUGCAUGGUUUGUGGUAGUGGGGGACUGCAUUUGUCCUCUCCCCUG